AUUGAACGCUGGCGGCAUGCCUUACACAUGCAAGUCGAACGGUAACAGGUCUUCGGAUGCUGACGAGUGGCGAACGGGUGAGUAAUACAUCGGAACGUGCCCAGACGUGGGGGAUAACGAGGCGAAAGCUUUGCUAAUACCGCAUACGAUCUAAGGAUGAAAGCAGGGGACCGCAAGGCCUUGCGCGUUUGGAGCGGCCGAUGGCAGAUUAGGUAGUUGGUGGGAUAAAAGCUUACCAAGCCGACGAUCUGUAGCUGGUCUGAGAGGACGACCAGCCACACUGGGACUGAGACACGGCCCAGACUCCUACGGGAGCCAGCAGUGGGGAAUUUUGGACAAUGGGCGAAAGCCUGAUCCAGCAAUGCCGCGUGCAGGAUGAAGGCCUUCGGGUUGUAAACUGCUUUUGUACGGAACGAAAAGGCUCUGGCUAAUACCUGGGGCACAUGACGGUACCGUAAGAAUAAGCACCGGCUAACUACGUG
Molecule: ribosomal RNA, 482 nt
Filed under: uncultured bacterium
Lineage: Bacteria
Description: partial 16S ribosomal RNA
Rfam family: Bacterial small subunit ribosomal RNA
Source: RNAcentral